AGUGAACGCUGGCGGUAGGCCUAACACAUGCAAGUCGAACGGCAGCACAGUAAGAGCUUGCUCUUACGGGUGGCGAGUGGCGGACGGGUGAGGAAUACAUCGGAAUCUACUUUUUCGUGGGGGAUAACGUAGGGAAACUUACGCUAAUACCGCAUACGACCUACGGGUGAAAGCAGGGGAUCUUCGGACCUUGCGCGAUUGAAUGAGCCGAUGUCGGAUUAGCUAGUUGGCGGGGUAAAGGCCCACCAAGGCGACGAUCCGUAGCUGGUCUGAGAGGAUGAUCAGCCACACUGGAACUGAGACACGGUCCAGACUCCUACGGGAGGCAGCAGUGGGGAAUAUUGGACAAUGGGCGCAAGCCUGAUCCAGCCAUACCGCGUGGGUGAAGAAGGCCUUCGGGUUGUAAAGCCCUUUCGUUGGGAAAGAAAAGCAGCAGGUUAAUACCCCGCUGUUCUGACGGUACCCAAAGAAUAAGCACCGGCUAACUUCGU
Molecule: ribosomal RNA, 491 nt
Filed under: uncultured bacterium
Lineage: Bacteria
Description: partial 16S ribosomal RNA
Rfam family: Bacterial small subunit ribosomal RNA
Source: RNAcentral